CCUUGAGAGUCCUGAAGGAACGUUAAAGACGAUGACGUUGAUAGGUCGGGUGUGUAAGCGUAGCGAUACGUUGAGCUAACCGAUACUAAUGAACCGUGAGGCUUAACCUU
RNAcentral lists this ribosomal RNA (110 nucleotides) under Citrobacter braakii. RNAcentral's name for it is "partial 23S ribosomal RNA". It matches the Rfam family "Bacterial large subunit ribosomal RNA", at positions 2813 to 2925 of the family's 2925-position model. Lineage: Bacteria; Pseudomonadati; Pseudomonadota; Gammaproteobacteria; Enterobacterales; Enterobacteriaceae. The record is from RNAcentral.